RNAcentral lists this long non-coding RNA (206 nucleotides) under Carica papaya (papaya). RNAcentral describes it as "long non-coding RNA (CPAP_LNC010930)". Lineage: Eukaryota; Viridiplantae; Streptophyta; Magnoliopsida; Brassicales; Caricaceae. The record is from RNAcentral.
AAAGUUAAUUUUAAAUAAAAACCAAAGCUUUAGUUUUAUUGAAUACUUGAAUUGUUAUUACAACUUAAGCACUAAGGCCUUUAUAUAUAACUUUAUUUUCCAACCCAAAUGGAAAUAGGAUUACAUAAUCCUAAUAGAAAUCCUAAACAAUUAUUUUAGUUGAACUCUCGCUAGAAAUUAAUUAAAUAAUGGAAUCCUAAUUCUAC